Long non-coding RNA from Pan troglodytes (chimpanzee), 588 nucleotides. RefSeq lists it as uncharacterized. The transcript has 3 exons. The record is from RefSeq and is a predicted model, not a curated record. Lineage: Eukaryota; Metazoa; Chordata; Mammalia; Primates; Hominidae.
CUUGUAAGCAGCAUGAAAUAGUAGACAGACACAGAAACUAAUUAAUUUCACCACAGUGUGGAUAAAGCUGCAACCAAGGUGGAUGCAAAGCAGCUGGGAGAGAUUUGAUUAGCCCGGGAGGGCAGGAGCAACCCAAGAAGGCUUCCAGGGAAGGCUGUGAUUAAACCGAAUAUUAAAGGAGUAAACGAUCCCAAUUGCAGUUUAUCUGUGGUUCAUCUGGCUUCUUCUCACACCACCUCUGUUGACAUGGGAGGCCUGCUGGCCACACAUCCAGGAAGUAUGAAAUCAGCGGGGUUCCUCCCCUUCUUGCUCCAGGGAAGCCUGAGAGGGACUCUGCAGAUUGCAUUUGGAAUCCAUCUGCCAGGUGAACUAGACCCUUGGAGCCUCCAUUUCCUCCUCUCUGAAAUAGGAACAGGCACGCUUCCCUUGCCUGACUCACGGAGUCUCUCUGGGAAUAAAGUCAGAGCAUCAUCUACAUCGUCAUGUGCUGCAUGAAAACAUGGAGGCCAUUGUUCUUACUCAAUUAGUGGAAAUGUAACUUAUUUCCCAGACUAUGGGGAACACAUAUUAAAAGAAAGAAGAUUCUUC